This 258-nucleotide ribosomal RNA is filed under the name uncultured bacterium. RNAcentral describes it as "partial 16S ribosomal RNA". It matches the Rfam family "Bacterial small subunit ribosomal RNA", at positions 28 to 276 of the family's 1533-position model. The record is from RNAcentral.
GACGAACGCUGGCGGCGUGCCUAAUACAUGCAAGUCGAGCGAAUCAAUAGGAGCUUGCUCCUGUUGGUUAGCGGCGGACGGGUGAGUAACACGUGGGCAACCUGCCUGUAAGACUGGGAUAACACCGGGAAACCGGUGCUAAUACCGGAUAAUCCUUUUCCUCUCAUGAGGAAAAGCUGAAAGUCGGUGCAAGCUGACACUUACAGAUGGGCCCGCGGCGCAUUAGCUAGUUGGUGAGGUAACGGCUCACCAAGGCGA